CCUAGCCAUAGCCAUAUGUGUCUCACAGCAAUAGGAAACAGGAGUGACACCAGGCUGCUACCAGCCAUUAAUGGAGAUGAGCAUUUUUUUUGUAAAGGUGGUAGAACUUUGUGUCUGCUUUUGGCUUUGCAGAAUGAAAAUUGAAAGCACCUGGCAUAACAGGUUGUCUUAUUAUUCUUCCCUGGCUUAGAAGCUCUGACAUCUGCCCCUUACUUCUGCCCUCCCUCCACCAGGAAACAUGGGACAGGUCUAAGUGAAGCUCUCCUUAGUUUCCCCAAGGCUUUGGAGUGGGGCUGGGUGGAAGGAGCAAAAGGGCUAGGGAGAGUGAGGGACUGGAAGGGUAAACUGGCUUGUGUGCACUCAAUUAAUAUAUUCCACGGAAGGGCACACUGCUUGUCCUGAGAAAAUUAUUAUUCCAGAGAAAUACUUCAGUGUAGUCAGAUUACAUUAGCCUUCUCUUCAAGGAGCUCCUCCAAUCUCACUUCCUCUAUGACAUCAUAAGGCAGCACAAGCCCGAUGCAGACACCUGCCCUUCGGCUAGCACCCCAGCUGACACUAGCACACAGUGCCAAUGUCUGAUGUCCUGCCCUCCACUCCUAAGUGUUCUUUCUUUCUCCGUUGUCAUAUCUGGGGACCAGAUAAGCUCAUGCCUACCAAUUCCUGCAUCAGUCAUUUCCAUGGCGAGGUCUUAGAUGGACACUGGAUGAGGGACCAGGAACACAGAGCCACACACGGUCCUAUUCUCUCAACCGAGAAUCACAUACUGAAUUUUAUUUGGGGUCCAGCAAGUAUUAAAGAAGGAUAUUUGGAGAAUGUUAAUAAAAUAUCUCUGAGCGGCUUGUAGUCUUGGUAAGAAAGUGAAAAUUACAUUCAGAAAAUUACAGGUGAACAAUGUAAGAAAAAAUACAGAUUGACUACUGUCUUUGGUAGCUCUAGCAUUUAAAUCUCAGGGUUUGGAGAAGGAAAAGAGACAAUAUGCAUCACACUAUGCAGGC
Pan troglodytes (chimpanzee) is the source of this 995-nucleotide long non-coding RNA. Lineage: Eukaryota; Metazoa; Chordata; Mammalia; Primates; Hominidae. The record is from Ensembl.